Molecule: long non-coding RNA, 365 nt
Organism: Lacerta agilis (Sand lizard)
Lineage: Eukaryota; Metazoa; Chordata; Lepidosauria; Squamata; Lacertidae
Exons: 2
Source: RefSeq, a predicted model, not a curated record
CUGAACUUAUCAAGCUGCCUUAUAGAGAGUCAGGCAAAAUUAAUCCAUCUUCUCUACUGCUUUCUACUUUGGACCGGCAGUGGCUAUGCAGAUGAUCAGACACCUGACAAUGUUGCCUGAAGUGUCUUGGUGGUGCAAAACUUAAAAGUUCACAACGACCAGAAGUUCAAUUGGAUGCAAGUAGGUAAGGAAGGAAAUACAUGGGGAGAGAAAUUAUUUACCUCAGGCCACUUUUCCUGGAUGACGUCAAUGAUGUCGUCUGUAAAGUCCCCCUGAAUGAUUAUUUCAUCCUCUCCUGUUACUGAGGCACCGCAGGAGAAUUUCUGAGCAAAGAACCUUUGUGCUUCCUUAAGGUCUAUUUCUGU